AUUGAACGCUGGCGGCAGGCUUAACACAUGCAAGUCGAGCGAGGGAAGGUAGCUUGCUACCGGACCUAGCGGCGGACGGGUGAGUAAUGCUUAGGAAUCUGCCUAUUAGUGGGGGACAACAUCUCGAAAGGGAUGCUAAUACCGCAUACGUCCUACGGGAGAAAGCAGGGGAUCACUUGUGACCUUGCGCUAAUAGAUGAGCCUAAGUCGGAUUAGCUAGUUGGUGGGGUAAAGGCCUACCAAGGCGACGAUCUGUAGCGGGCCUGAGAGGAUGAUCCGCCACACUGGGACUGAGACACGGCCCAGACUCCUACGGGAGGCAGCAGUGGGGAAUAUUGGACAAUGGGGGGAACCCUGAUCCAGCCAUGCCGCGUGUGUGAAGAAGGCCUUAUGGUUGUAAAGCACUUUAAGCGAGGAGGAGGCUCUUUUGGUUAAUACCCAAGAUGAGUGGACGUUACUUGCAGAAUAAGCACCGGCUAACUCUGUGCCAGCCGCCGCGGUAA
RNAcentral lists this ribosomal RNA (503 nucleotides) under uncultured bacterium. RNAcentral's name for it is "partial 16S ribosomal RNA". It matches the Rfam family "Bacterial small subunit ribosomal RNA", at positions 30 to 523 of the family's 1533-position model. The record is from RNAcentral.